This 2700-nucleotide long non-coding RNA is filed under the name Pelobates cultripes (western spadefoot toad). Lineage: Eukaryota; Metazoa; Chordata; Amphibia; Anura; Pelobatidae. The record is from RNAcentral.
CCAAACCUUACGAAAUCUGUGCUUUAACUGCAGAAGCCAUGAAUUACUUGCUAUAUUUAAAGAUGGAGGGUCUGUAUCUGAUUGCAUUCCUUUUCCCAGGUAAGUCUUCCUUAAUGCAAUUGUUGUUCUUUAUAAACGAUCUAUUAACAUAAAAAAUUAUGGGGAAAAGAAAAUGUUGUGCCAGAUAGUUAACUGAGAGGUGGAAUAGAGAGAUUUACUAUACUGCAUUUAUUGACAUUGAUACUAUAUGGUGUUACUAUAAGAGUGUUGUCAAAUAACAGAUUUUAUUUUAAUUCUGCGCAAGGUUAUCAGAAUUGACAUUUCUUUCAACUAUAUUAAAUUAGCCCACGUUGUAUCUGUGUGAUUGCAAGGCAGUGACAGUUUUGCAUUUGGGAAUAUUUUAAUGUGUUGUCAAGUGAUUAUUCCCCCUGGAUUACUGAAUUAAAGUUGCCAUAAUACAUUCUAAUUAACUCACGUCUUAUCCUGAUUUGAUAUCAUUCUUAGAUUCAAACUUGCAAAUAACUGGAAGCCUUUAAGAAGCAGUGGAAGUAGUGCGACAUUAAUUUAUUUUAUGUUCCUUGUAUUUGUUCCUGUAGUUUUUAAAUCUGCAUCAUAAUGCAAUAUGAAAUACUCCCCUAAAUGAGAUUUUAUUAUUUUCGUAAAUAGUGACAUUUUAAACAGCACAGCCCACAUUUUAUACUGUUAUUAACCCUCAGUAAUAAUAAUUCAUGUGAGAUAGAGAUUUGUGAUUUUACUUCUUAAAGAAAAAUAAAUUCUUGAUUUUCUUCAUGGGCUAUUCACAUCAUAAGUGCAUCUUUCUGAUGGGUUGUAUCCCCUUGGAUCUUGAAUCACUAUGGGGUGUAUUCACUAAACAGCAGAUUGUAGUGAAUUAGAGACGCAAAAUGUCGGCCAAAAUAGUUGAUUUUGAAAAUAAAAAUGCCAGUUAGUAACUGCGCUAGGCUAUAGCCUGAAUUUUGCAGUUCAGUUUUUAUUUCAUCAUAAUUUGUUAUUUAGUGAUUAUAUAAUGGGUUUAUUUUCAGACCUAUAGGUCUGUUCACUAAGCAAUGGUUUGAGAACAGCUAAUUAUUGACUUGCAAAAUUUAGCUUAUCUAUUUAAAAUAACUGACGUAGAUAAAAAGUCAUCAAAUUAGCAGAAUCUGAGAAACGUUCCAAUUUUAAUAAAUAGACCGCUCUAAUCUCUCUUUUUCUUUACGUGAUGAAUAGUUUAGAUAUUGCAAUUCUUUUCAACCAAAAAUAUCACAAUUAUGUGUUGAUUUAUUAUUUCUGUUUUUAAUCUUAUCGGUAACUACAGCUGAUAACGUUAAUACUUUCUUUAAUGCAUCAUAUUGCUUCAAACAUUAGUGUAUGCUAGGGAGCAGGAACCGUUCUAAUUGCUUAUUUUGAAAGAAUAAAUGGUGUAAAUGAUUAUAAUGAAGAUGUUAAAAUAUAAUAGUAAGUCCAAAGUAAGAAAAAAAUAAUAUACAUGCCCUAACCAUAGGUUGAAAAAUUAGAUUGGUGAGGGCAGGGAAUAGCCUAAAAAUAGAAAAAAGUAAUCUUUAUUAAAUAGGACACAUAAAAUUACAAAACACAAACACACUCCAAACAAGUAACAUAAAUCUGCUCUUAUAGACUGCUUGAUAAAGACCUUAUUUGAGGUCAGUACACUGCUGCUGUUACAUCAUUCACUGAUCUUCAAUUUUGAGUGCUUGGAUUCUCUUUGAUUUCUUACCUAAAGACUGCGCCAUCAUAAACUUGCGCGUGAAUACGUUUAUGAUGACCUAAAUCGCCAAGAGCUAAAUAGCCCACACUUAUCAAAGAAUUAAAAAAAACUGAUAGAAUGCAAAAAGUUAACCACAAAUGUCCAUAAGAGCAGAAGUAACAAAUAGUUACUAGUAAAGGUAAUUGGCUGAUAAAAAAAAGAGAGGAUAAAUUGCUAGCUACUAUUGGGGUAUGUAUAAAUAAAUAUAAAUGGUCCUUAAGAAUUCCUUGGCUCAUCUAUGCAUAGUAAAAGAGAAAGGGACCUUAAUCUAUUGAUAAAAAGAACAAUACCCGAGACUACCUCAGCACACUGUAAGGGAUGCAUGUAUCUACAUAACUAGUAGAGGUAUACCUCUCAAGUAGGAGCAGACAGUGAACUGAAAAAUAACAAGUGUUAAGUGCUACCCAUAAUGUGAAAAUACUGAAUAAAAUAAGUGAUCACAACAUAAGAGAAACCCAAAGAACAUUUUUAGACAGACCUUCGUCAGAGGCAGAAUAUAAUAGUCCUGUGUACUAUAAAAAAUAAAUGUGUGUUGCUUUUAUUGACGGAAAUGUUUUAUGUCAUGUAAGUUUGACUUCCUGUAUAGCUCUUCUCAAUGUUGUUCUCUAAGCUGUUAAUAAGUAUUUUUUUUAUCGAUGUGGUAGGCCACAAUGUAUAAUCCUGGAAUCUUCUCUUUGAUAAAACCGUCAAUGUGCAUUAAACAGGGUUCAUUGUUUUCAUAUUGAAGACCACAAUGUAAUCUGACUGUAAACUAUUCUCAUUAAUAGCUGUGAUGCCAGGAGCCUUUGCUACUGAUCUUUCCAAUAUGAAGAAUUCGAGCCUGCAUCAGUUAACCAAACACCUUCUGAUCAACUAUCACAAAGGUGUGAGGCCUGUGAGAAACUGGAGUCAAGCCACCACCGUUUCUAUUGACCUCUUUCUCCACGCUGUCUUAGAUGUUG